This 281-nucleotide long non-coding RNA is filed under the name Theobroma cacao (cacao). Its description in RNAcentral is "long non-coding RNA (TCAC_LNC003571)". The record is from RNAcentral. Lineage: Eukaryota; Viridiplantae; Streptophyta; Magnoliopsida; Malvales; Malvaceae.
GCAUGUGCAGCAUCUGGGUUUGUGCUAAAAUCCAGUUUGGCACCAAAACCAAGCUCAACUCCAAGGAAUACUGUUGCCUUUUCUUCCAAGCAUGGAAAUAAUAUUUCAAGAAGGCUAGUGGUACGAGCAGCAGAGGAGGGACCGCCACCUCCACCACCACCACCACCAACACCAACACCGCCAGAGGCUUCUACUACCACCACCACCACUGCCCCCGCAGAAGGUGAAGCAAAGCCAGCUCCAAAGGCUGCCAAGCCACCUCCAAUUGGACCCAAGAGGGG